This is a non-coding RNA of Pseudomonas putida KT2440, 66 nucleotides long. It matches the Rfam family "Pseudomonas sRNA P26". From Rfam's summary of the family: P26 is conserved across many Gammaproteobacteria species and appears to be consistently located between the DNA directed RNA polymerase (beta subunit) and 50S ribosomal protein L7/L12 genes. The record is from Rfam. NCBI's taxonomy places the organism in Bacteria, Pseudomonadati, Pseudomonadota, Gammaproteobacteria, Pseudomonadales, Pseudomonadaceae.
GACCUUGCGAUGCCAGCCUGAGCGUUGAGCGAAAGGCUGAUGGCUGGUGGCUUAUGCCACCGGCCU